This 161-nucleotide non-coding RNA is filed under the name pig gut metagenome. RNAcentral's name for it is "Lysine riboswitch". It matches the Rfam family "Lysine riboswitch aptamer". Rfam says of the family: Riboswitches are metabolite binding domains within certain messenger RNAs that serve as precision sensors for their corresponding targets. The record is from RNAcentral.
AGGAUAGAGGCGCGGACGUCAAGAGUACCGCGCGGUGCAAGGUGUUCGCAGCACCGUUGCCGCGUGAAAAAGGGGCGGCCGCCGAAGGCGGGCGAGGCGAAGUCCGUCUGGUCAUGCGCAUAAGAUGCGUAUGACUGUCGCGUUUGCGGAGAGCUAUGGAU